RNAcentral lists this unclassified non-coding RNA (229 nucleotides) under Hevea brasiliensis (rubber tree). Lineage: Eukaryota; Viridiplantae; Streptophyta; Magnoliopsida; Malpighiales; Euphorbiaceae. The record is from RNAcentral.
UGAACUGAAGAUGUUUCAGGUGGAUGAGGCGGCAAGUUCGUAGAAGGGAACCGACGGGAACUUGGAUUAGAAAUUGAUGCAUGUGAUUCUGAAUGAGUAGGAGAUGGUGAGCAAGAAAUUGAAGGUGCAGAAGCUUUAUAAAGGUCAUAACUCCAACUAUGUGGUCUCGAGAAUGGCAAGGAUGAUGGAGAACCGUGAGACACAGGAAGAGAGGGGAACCUUUUCAGUG